UUGCGGCGUUUCCGAUUUAAUUAAAUUUUGAUCUUUGAGAGAUUUUCUUGUACUCCGCCUUUUCGACAUUAAUAAAUUAUUUGCUCCGUCUUCGCACGUAGACGUAGGCCGUUAGCCGAACCACAUAAAUAUCGGUGUGCUUUUUUCAUAUUUUUUCGUUUCAUGCAUUAAAUUAUUUUCUGGAUCUAUUUUUCGCCGUUCCAAUUUUAACAGUUAUCUUCGUCGGCUUGCGAUGUCCACUGAAAAAUCUUAG
This 253-nucleotide long non-coding RNA is filed under the name Ananas comosus (pineapple). RNAcentral's name for it is "long non-coding RNA (ACOM_LNC016937)". Lineage: Eukaryota; Viridiplantae; Streptophyta; Magnoliopsida; Poales; Bromeliaceae. The record is from RNAcentral.